CAUCAAGUUUCCAUGGCAACAACUUCUUAUCUCAUUUGCAUCUUCAGCUUUCAAUAUGUACUCAUGCCAAAUAUGGUCAACUUCUUACAUUCGCCACCCCUUUCUGGAUCCCCUUUUCAUAACUUCCCUUUUCUUUGCAUUUGCACAACUGUGUUUGACACACGUGGUGAGACAUGCAUAUGUACUGAUUAACAAAGCCACAGUAUGUAAAAGAAAUUUACUGAAAUAAACUUUAUUGGUGUCAACAGAAUAAAGAGGUGAAACAAUAGAGAGAAUUCUAAAUAUAUUGCAGUCUAGUUCUGCUUCCAGUAUUUACAGCACAUUUUAAAAACACCUCCCUUCCAGUUAGAGCAAAAAAUAUACAUAGAAAUUUUAAUAGUUAGCUUGACAAAAAAGGUUUUAUAGGGAUGCCACCCUUUGGAGAAAAAAAAGAUUGAAUGCACACAUAAAGGAUUCUGCAUGUAUAAACUGUGCAUGUGAGGGUGGGAAAAGAGGAAGAGCGUUUGACACUGCAGAGCAGUUUGUAAGCUGAGAUAUCAAGAAGUAAAACAACUUAUUAAACCAGGAAGCAGGAACUUGUAUUAGGACUCCCUUGCAUAUUCACUGGGCUUCACUUAACCCCUAGCUCUUCAUCAUUUCAGCAUUUGCUAACCUUCAAACCUUCUGCCCCCCUCAAACGACUGUGUCUAUCAAACUAUCAAUGGAAUGUCGAAGUAGGCCUCUCGGGCCCACACACGCAGCAAGACUCAGCAACACUCAGCACCUGUCUCCAACUGCCAGCAAAGAGAAAGGCAGUCAAUCAGACGGGACAACACCACCAAGGGAAAAGGGCACAGAAGUAGGAGGAAGACAACCAGCAUUUUAUUAGGAAAGCACUUAAAAAAAGGUGGCGUGGUGCAGAGGAUGGAAACUUCCAGCAUCUUCUUCAAGCAUCACUGGUACAAGCCUCAACCUCUCUGCCACACCCUGCAGAGAAGGAGCCAAUUCUAAUAAAUGGUUUGAAAUAAUGACAGAUGGAGGAUUAAAAUAAAGUAUUGCUAUUCA
Oryzias latipes (Japanese medaka) is the source of this 1044-nucleotide long non-coding RNA. RefSeq lists it as uncharacterized. The record is from RefSeq and is a predicted model, not a curated record. NCBI's taxonomy places the organism in Eukaryota, Metazoa, Chordata, Actinopteri, Beloniformes, Adrianichthyidae.